AUAACUCCGGGAAACCGGGGCUAAUACCGGAUGCUUGUUUGAACCGCAUGGUUCAAACAUAAAAGGUGGCUUCGGCUACCACUUACAGAUGGACCCGCGGCGCAUUAGCUAGUUGGUGAGGUAAUGGCUCACCAAGGCAACGAUGCGUAGCCGACCUGAGAGGGUGAUCGGCCACACUGGGACUGAGACACGGCCCAGACUCCUACGGGAGGCAGCAGUAGGGAAUCUUCCGCAAUGGACGAAAGUCUGACGGAGCAACGCCGCGUGAGUGAUGAAGGUUUUCGGAUCGUAAAGCUCUGUUGUUAGGGAAGAACAAGUACCGUUCGAAUAGGGCGGUACCUUGACGG
Molecule: ribosomal RNA, 347 nt
Filed under: Bacillus sp. (in: firmicutes)
Lineage: Bacteria; Bacillati; Bacillota; Bacilli; Caryophanales; Bacillaceae
Also listed under: 1 other name
Description: bacterial SSU rRNA
Rfam family: Bacterial small subunit ribosomal RNA
Source: RNAcentral